This 1352-nucleotide long non-coding RNA is filed under the name Salmo salar (Atlantic salmon). Its description in RNAcentral is "lncRNA (ENSSSAG00000094175.1)". Lineage: Eukaryota; Metazoa; Chordata; Actinopteri; Salmoniformes; Salmonidae. The record is from RNAcentral.
GAAACUCGUCAGUCUAUUCUUGUUCUGAGAAAUGAAGGCUAUUCCAUGCGAGAGAUUGCCAAGAAACUGAAGAUCUCAUACAACGCUGUGUACUACUCCCUUCACAGAACAGGGCAAAGUGGCUCUAACCAGAAUAGAAAGAGUGGGAGGCCCAGGUGCACAACUAACAGGAGGGCUCCAAAAUGGCAAGGAAAUGUAAAGAGGACAGAACAUGGACACAAUUCAAUUGGGAUCAAGAAGGAGGAUGGUGCUGCUUGCCCGAACUGUGACAAGCUGGAGUGGCAUAUUGCAGGGUGAUGCAUGUACCUGAGUCUACCCUAGAGAUGAAAACUGUUCCCAAAACAAAAAGUUGUUUUUCUUCAUCCAGAAAUGCUGAAGUAUCUGAAUGGUCUUUGGAGGAUGUCUUCCAGUGGCUUCAACAGAAUCAAUUGAAGGACUACACCUAUCUUUUCCAAGUUUAAAAAAAAUUGAAACACCUGUCAAAAUGCCUGCUUUGUUUAACUGCCCAAUAUGCAACAAGCGUUUCUUCUCCUUUAUAAAACAGAUUCGCCACAUUGGUCUAUAUCACCAGAGUGAGCCAGUGUUCCUGUUAACAUGUGGACUUGGAGGUCGCAUGAAAACCUGUAAAUGCUUUGCAUUUAUACAGAAAUCACAAAGAUUUGCUGAAAGAUAGGUCUAAUGGUUCUGUUAUCCCUGUGUCUGACUUCAUCGAGGAAGACGUGGACGAUGAUGAUCCUGAUCUCGCUUGGCUGCCUGCAACUAAUGUUAUUGAGUCCGUGGACUACAAAACUGAGGACCUGGUUAAAAGCCUUAAGAGAAACCUCUGCCUUCAUAUGUUGAAGAUCUGAGAGAAGCAUUGUGUUCCUGUGACUGUGCAGAACAGUUUAGUGGAGGACCUUCAUUCCAUUUUUGAUUAAUUCCUGUCCCACUACAGCGAGGAAUUUAAAUUCCACCUUCGGGAAGAUUCAUAUCAAUGUCGAUGAGGGCAAUGACUUGUGUGAGCUAAACCAGACAAAGGUUUUGAAGAGUGUAUGCGAAGCAUCACCGCAUAGUGGAUGCAGGAGCAAUACUGCUGCAAGAAAUGGGAAUAGCAAGACAGAGAGAGAUACAUCUGAGUGGUGAAGAACAGGACAGAGCCAGGACAGAGCCAAUACAUCCCACUACCUUACGUUUUGAAGGUGGCACAAAAUGGAGAUGUCUGGGCGAGCUUAAAUGGAGAAGAAGAAGAACCUGCAAACUAUUAAAUCUUGAAUGAUGUCACAGACAGGGAUUCUUUUCAAGAGGAAUCCUUUAUUCUCGCAAAAGCAAAUGGUCCGGCGUAAUUUUUAUAUACAGUUGAAGUCGGAAGUUUA